GUUAUAUGGUCAAGCGAAUAAGCGCACACGGUGGAUGCCUAGGCGGUCAGAGGCGAUGAAGGACGUGGUAGCCUGCGAAAAGUGUCGGGGAGCUGGCAACAAGCUUUGAUCCGGCAAUAUCCGAAUGGGGAAACCCACUGCUUCGGCAGUAUCCUGCAGUGAAUUCAUAGCUGCUGGAAGCGAACCCGGUGAACUGAAAUAUCUAAGUAACCGGAGGAAAAGAAAUCAACCGAGAUUCCCUAAGUAGUGACGAGCGAACGGGGAGCAGCCCUUAAGCUGGAAUGGCUUUAGAAAAACAAUCUGGAAAGAUUGGCCAUAGAAGGUGAUAGCCCUGUAUUUAAAAGGGCCACUCCAGUGAAGACGAGUAGGGCGGGGCACGUGAAACCCUGUCUGAAUAUGGGGGGACCAUCCUCCAAGGCUAAAUACUCCUGACCGACCGAUAGUGAACCAGUACCGUGAGGGAAAGGCGAAAAGAACCCCGGAGAGGGGAGUGAAAUAGAUCCUGAAACCGUGUGCGUACAAGCAGUAGGAGCUCGCAAGAGUGACUGCGUACCUUUUGUAUAAUGGGUCAGCGACUUACUGUUCGUGGCAAGCUUAACCGUAUAGGGGAGGCGAAGGGAAACCGAGUCUGAUAAGGGCGCAUAGUCGCGGGCAGUAGACCCGAAACCGGGUGAUCUAGUCAUGGCCAGGGUGAAGGUGCCGUAACAGGUACUGGAGGCCCGAACCCACGUCUGUUGCAAAAGACGGGGAUGAGCUGUGAUUAGGAGUGAAAAGCUAAUCGAACCCGGAGAUAGCUGGUUCUCCUCGAAAGCUAUUUAGGUAGCGCCUCGGACGAAUACUACUGGGGGUAGAGCACUGUUAUGGCUAGGGGGUCAUCGCGACUUACCAAACCAUUGCAAACUCCGAAUACCAGUACGUACUAUCCGGGAGACACACGGCGGGUGCUAACGUCCGUCGUGAAAAGGGAAACAACCCAGACCCACAGCUAAGGUCCCAAAUUCACUGCUAAGUGGAAAACGAUGUGGAAAGGCAUAGACAGCCAGGAGGUUGGCUUAGAAGCAGCCACCCUUUAAAGAAAGCGUAAUAGCUCACUGGUCGAGUCGGUCUGCGCGGAAGAUUUAACGGGGCUAAGCAGUGAACCGAAGCUUGGGGUGCAUAAAACUUGUUUUAUGCGCGGUAGAGGAGCGUUCCGUAAGCCUGCGAAGGUGGAUUGAGAAGUCUGCUGGAGGUAUCGGAAGUGCGAAUGCUGACAUGAGUAACGAUAAUGCGGGUGAAAAGCCCGCACGCCGAAAGCCCAAGGUUUCCUUGCGCAACGUUAAUCGACGCAGGGUUAGUCGGUCCCUAAGGCGAGGGCGAAAGCCGUAGUCGAUGGGAAGCAGGUUAAUAUUCCUGCACCUCGCGUGAGUGCGAUGGAGGGACGGAGAAGGUUAGGUGUACCGGGCGUUGGUUGUCCCGGGGAAAGGCGGUAGGUUUGGAUCUUUGGCAAAUCCGGGAUCCUUUAAGACCGAGCACCGAGACGAGCCUUUAUGGCGAAGUCACUGAUACCACGCUUCCAGGAAAAGCUCCUAAGCUUCAGCUCACGAAGACCGUACCGUAAACCGACACAGGUGGGUAGGAUGAGAAUUCUCAGGCGCUUGAGAGAACUCGGGUGAAGGAACUAGGCAACAUGGCACCGUAACUUCGGGAGAAGGUGCACCCUUUUUGGUGGCUCAUGCGAGCUAUAGCUGAAGAGGGUCGCAGAAACCAGGCCGCUGCGACUGUUUAUCAAAAACACAGCACUCUGCAAACACGAAAGUGGACGUAUAGGGUGUGACGCCUGCCCGGUGCUGGAAGGUUAAUUGAUGGGGUCAGCCGCAAGGCGAAGCUCUUGAUCGAAGCCCCAGUAAACGGCGGCCGUAACUAUAACGGUCCUAAGGUAGCGAAAUUCCUUGUCGGGUAAGUUCCGACCUGCACGAAUGGCGUAACGACAGCGGCGCUGUCUCCACCCGAGACUCAGUGAAAUUGAAAUCGCUGUGAAGAUGCAGCGUUCCCGUGGCAAGACGGAAAGACCCCGUGAACCUUUACUAUAGCUUUACACUGAACGUUGAGUUCGUCUGUGUAGGAUAGGUGGGAGGCUAUGAAACUGUGGCGCUAGCUGCAGUGGAGCCAUCCUUGAAAUACCACCCUGUCGUGCUUGACGUUCUAACCUAGAUCCGUUAUCCGGAUCAGGGACCGUGUAUGGUGGGUAGUUUGACUGGGGCGGUCUCCUCCUAAAGAGUAACGGAGGAGCACGAAGGUACGCUCAGCGCGGUCGGACAUCGCGCACUGUGUGCAAAGGCAUAAGCGUGCUUGACUGCAAGAUCGACGGAUCAAGCAGGUACGAAAGUAGGUCUUAGUGAUCCGGUGGUUCUGUAUGGAAGGGCCAUCGCUCAACGGAUAAAAGGUACUCCGGGGAUAACAGGCUGAUACCGCCCAAGAGUUCAUAUCGACGGCGGUGUUUGGCACCUCGAUGUCGGCUCAUCACAUCCUGGGGCUGUAGUCGGUCCCAAGGGUAUGGCUGUUCGCCAUUUAAAGUGGUACGCGAGCUGGGUUCAGAACGUCGUGAGACAGUUCGGUCCCUAUCUGCCAUGGGCGUUGGAAGUUUGAGAGGGGCUGCUCCUAGUACGAGAGGACCGGAGUGGACGAACCUCUGGUGUUCCGGUUGUCACGCCAGUGGCAUUGCCGGGUAGCUAUGUUCGGAAGCGAUAACCGCUGAAAGCAUCUAAGCGGGAAGCGCGCCUCAAGAUGAGACUUCCCGGGGCACAAGCCCCCUAAAGGAACCAUAAAGACUAUGUGGUUGAUAGGUCAGGUGUGUAAGUACAGCAAUGUAUUGAGCUAACUGAUACUAAUGAUCCGUGCGGCUUGACCAUAUAACCU
Molecule: ribosomal RNA, 2895 nt
Filed under: Xanthomonas arboricola
Lineage: Bacteria; Pseudomonadati; Pseudomonadota; Gammaproteobacteria; Lysobacterales; Lysobacteraceae
Description: bacterial LSU rRNA
Rfam family: Bacterial large subunit ribosomal RNA
Source: RNAcentral